Molecule: ribosomal RNA, 253 nt
Filed under: uncultured bacterium
Lineage: Bacteria
Description: partial 16S ribosomal RNA
Rfam family: Bacterial small subunit ribosomal RNA
Source: RNAcentral
UACGAAGGGUGCAAGCGUUACUCGGAAUUACUGGGCGUAAAGCGUGCGUAGGUGGUGAGUUAAGUCUGUCGUGAAAGCCCCGGGCUCAACCUGGGAAUGGCGAUGGAUACUGGCUCGCUAGAGUGCGGUAGAGGAGAGUGGAAUUCCCGGUGUAGCAGUGAAAUGCGUAGAGAUCGGGAGGAACAUCAGUUGCGAAGGCGGCUCUCUGGACCAGCACUGACACUGAGGCACGAAAGCGUGGGGAGUAAACAGG